AACAACAGGGAUUGCCCUAGUAACGGCGAGUGAAGCGGCAACAGCUCAAAUUUGAAAUCUGGCCUUAGGGUCCGAGUUGUAAUUUGUAGAGGAUGCUUUUGGUGCGGUACCUUCCGAGUUCCCUGGAACGGGACGCCAUAGAGGGUGAGAGCCCCGUACGGUUGGAUACCUAGCCUCUGUAAAGCUCCUUCGACGAGUCGAGUAGUUUGGGAAUGCUGCUCUAAAUGGGAGGUAAAUUUCUUCUAAAGCUAAAUACCGGCCAGAGACCGAUAGCGCACAAGUAGAGUGAUCGAAAGAUGAAAAGCACUUUGAAAAGAGGGUUAAAUAGCACGUGAAAUUGUUGAAAGGGAAGCGCUUAUGACCAGACUUUUGUCCGGCGGAUCAUCCGGUGUUCUCACCGGUGCACUUCGCCGGGCUGAGGCCAGCAUCGAUUUCUGUAGGGGGAUAAAGACUUCAGGAAAGUAGCUCCCUUCGGGGAGUGUUAUAGCCCGUUGUGUAAUACCCCUAUAGGGAUCGAGGUUCGCGCAUCUGCAAGGAUGCUGGCAUAAUGGUCAUCAGCGACCCGUCUUGAAACACGGACCAAGGAGUCGAACAUUUAUGCGAGUGUUUGGGUGUUAAACCCUCACGCGUAAUGAAAGUGAACGGAGGUGAGAGCCCUUACGGGUGCAUCAUCGACCGAUCCUGAUGUCUUCGGAUGGAUUUGAGUAAGAGCAUAACUGUUCGGACCCGAAAGAUGGUGAACUAUGCGUGGAUAGGGUGAAGCCAGAGGAAACUCUGGUGGAGGCUCGCAGCGGUUCUGACGUGCAAAUCGAUCGUCAAAUCUGCGCAUGGGGGCGAAAGACUAAUCGAACCAUCUAGUAGCUGGUUACCGCCGAAGUUCCCCCUCAGGGAUAA
This 894-nucleotide ribosomal RNA is filed under the name Creosphaeria sassafras. RNAcentral's name for it is "partial large subunit ribosomal RNA". It matches the Rfam family "Eukaryotic large subunit ribosomal RNA", at positions 64 to 981 of the family's 3401-position model. Lineage: Eukaryota; Fungi; Ascomycota; Sordariomycetes; Xylariales; Xylariaceae. The record is from RNAcentral.